Small nuclear RNA from Phymastichus coffea, 122 nucleotides. RefSeq annotates it as U5 spliceosomal RNA. The transcript has a single exon. NCBI's taxonomy places the organism in Eukaryota, Metazoa, Arthropoda, Insecta, Hymenoptera, Eulophidae. The record is from RefSeq and is a predicted model, not a curated record.
AUCUCUGGCUCCUCUUCAACAUACGUAUAAAUCUUUCGCCUUUUACUAAAGAUUUCCGUGGAGGGGAGCAUUUGAAGAGUCUUCGACUCAAUUUUUUUACGUAGCCUGACGAAAGUUAGGCU